GCGAGCUUCAAGGCCUUCUCCAGAGUUUGCGUACUUUUGAGCAGACGGUGGUGCGUGAUGGGACUCUGGGUUCAGGUGAACCCUCACGCGAACCUCAGCCUCAGACGUGUGCAGAAAUGUGGGUAGACCAGGCUCGCGGACUGGCUAAGAGUUGCCCCGGCAACGAUGAGGACUCAGAUACUGGGCUGAGCUCCAUGCACAGCCAAGACUCAGACUCGGUACCCCCUGUGUGUGAAUCCCUUGUGUAGAAGUUGUAGGGAGCUAGCUUAGACGCUUGCAGCAUGCACUUGCUUGGCCUGCUCAGGGACAUGAAGUGAGGCCAUGGGGGUGAGCUCAGAGUUCCCAUGGGUGGGUCUGGAGAGUGAGUGUGAAGGGGGGGGGGGGUCCUGGACAGGGAAGCCCUAAACUUCCUAAGCUUUAGAGGGAAGAGGAGUCAGGAGGUGAGAAUCCCUCCCUGUUUUUAAAAAAAGCAUUAGGUAAGUGACGAGGUCCAAGCCCAUUUUCAAAACAAGAGAAAAGAAAAACAUUAUGGGACAUUUUUACCACUCCUGUGUAUGGGAAGGACCGAUGACAGCUAGAACUGUGGUCUGUGUCAUAAAGUGCUGCUAAAAGAAAACACUUGGAUGGAAAGGAAAUUCCUUGAAUGUUAAUUGUGACUGGAAACGUGUUCAAACUAGCCAAAGAGGACGCACUAGUGUGUUGGUCUCUGCCUUGCUUAACAUCUUGAUAAAACCAUAGGCAUCAA
This 745-nucleotide long non-coding RNA is filed under the name Rattus norvegicus (Norway rat). Its description in RNAcentral is "long non-coding RNA NONRATT001118". The record is from RNAcentral. Lineage: Eukaryota; Metazoa; Chordata; Mammalia; Rodentia; Muridae.